This 383-nucleotide ribosomal RNA is filed under the name uncultured bacterium. Its description in RNAcentral is "bacterial SSU rRNA". It matches the Rfam family "Bacterial small subunit ribosomal RNA", at positions 32 to 396 of the family's 1533-position model. The record is from RNAcentral.
AAUCAACGCUGGCGGCGUGCCUAACACAUGCAAGUCGAACGCGAAAGGGGGCUUCGGCUCCUAAGUAGAGUGGCGUCCGGGUGAGUAACACGUAGGUAAUCUGCCUUCGGGUGGGGAAUAACCAGUCGAAAGAUUGGCUAAUACCGCAUAAUGCAGCGGCACCUAAUGGUGAUUAGUUGUUAAAGCGGGGGAUCUAAGACCUCGCGCCUGAAGAGGAGCCUGCGGCAGAUAGCUAGUUGGUGAGGUAAUGGCUCACCAAGGCUUCGAUCUGUAGCUGGUCUGAGAGGACGGCCAGCCACACUGGCACUGACACACGGGCCAGACUCCUACGGGAGGCAGCAGUGGGGAAUUUUGGGCAAUGGGCGAAAGCCUGACCAGCAACG